Molecule: long non-coding RNA, 1003 nt
Organism: Suricata suricatta (meerkat)
Lineage: Eukaryota; Metazoa; Chordata; Mammalia; Carnivora; Herpestidae
Exons: 2
Source: RefSeq, a predicted model, not a curated record
GAGGAGCACAGCCUGUAGAGUGAGCAUCCUGGAUCCCAGGACUUAGCAGCCCUGGCCAUGGGUCUGGAGCCUAGUGAGAGAAGGCAAGAGUACCCUUGCAGGUAUCUAGCAGGUAGCUCUCUGGGGAAUGCUUGUUGCAUAAACCCAACAGAGUCCCUGUGAAAUAGUCAGAGGCCUCCGCUUUUCAGGCUCAAGCCCUGUAGCUACUCCACUAGUGUUGGAGACGCACGAUGACCACACAGGGAACAUAACUUCAAGGAGGUAGAGGCCUGGCUUCUCGUGAAACCUGCAGCUGUGCAAGUGUAGACAAAGAGGUGGAAGUUGUCACAGGUGGAUGACCCUGGCCCUAAAACAUGCCCUCCAGACCUUCUAGGCUGGCAGUGGAACAACCCCUUUGGAGAAGGCUGGGGGACCUUAGAGCCCGACUGCCAUCACCUUAGAGAUGCCACAGCCCUCAGUGGGCUGGCCCGAGUGCCGUAGUGGCCUGCCUCCCCUUCCUCGCCCCUGCAGGUGCCCACGUGGGGAGACUGGGGACCACUUGCCUAAACACUUGGCGAAUCAGACUCGGCCGGACUAGAGGCUGGGAGCCUUGUUUCCACAGCAGCACUGCAUCUUCUAUUUGGGGGUUGCUCACCAGGACCCACCCGCCCAGAACCUCACUCUGCAGCUGAGCAGAGACUUUGGAGUCCAGCUACCAGCGGUAGAGCCCUGCUCUGCCACAGCUCCUCCGUUCUCGUGGCUGCACUGUUCAACCUCUCUGAGCCUCUGUCUUCUCAUCUGGAAAACGAAGAUAGAUCCCACCUGUCAAAGUUCUCCUGACCAUUAAAUCAUACAGUGGAUACGAACUGCCCCGCACAGCUUUGGCACACAGAAGUGAUCCCUGCCAGGCGAUGCCCCAGCUCCAGGCCCUUUUCUCUAUGAAUGCUUCUCCAGCCACACGUUCAGAGCCUUUCCAGUGCAGUGAAAGGCCUCAUGAUUCUCUUUUAAAUUAACUGAAAUCCUA